RNAcentral lists this ribosomal RNA (301 nucleotides) under uncultured bacterium. RNAcentral's name for it is "partial 16S ribosomal RNA". It matches the Rfam family "Bacterial small subunit ribosomal RNA", at positions 509 to 807 of the family's 1533-position model. The record is from RNAcentral.
CAGCAGCCGCGGGAAUACGGAGGAUCCAAGCGUUAUCCGGAUUUAUUGGGCGUAAAGGGUGCGUAGGCGGUUUGGCAAGCCUUGUGUGAAAUCUUCGGGCUCAACCCGAAGCCUGCACGAGAAACUACCGGGCUUGAGUAUUGGAGAGGUGAGUGGAAUUUCCGGUGUAGCGGUGAAAUGCGUAGAUAUCGGAAGGAACACCUGUGGCGAAAGCGGCUCACUGGACAAUAACUGACGCUGAUGCACGAAAGCUAGGGGAGCAAACAGGAUUAGAUACCCGAGUAGUCCCUGUCUCUUAUAC